CCCCAAGCUACUCCGGCUUCCAUCUUUCCUCCUUGCAGUAAGGUUGAUAAAUUUUAUUCUUAUAGAGAUUUACGAUAUAUUUUUUUGUUUUGUUUUAAGGUUGGGUGUAUGAUUUUUGAAAUACUUGCAUACAUACAUAUGUUGAUAUUAUGCUGAUGUAUGUUUGAAAUUAUAACCAAUAGUCGUAUUCUUAUGGGUGAUGGAUGAUGAGGUCUUUGAUACUUUCUUGGUUUAUCAACAACAGCACUAGCAGGAUCUGAAACACAGAAGCAGAAAUAUUUACCUUCAUUGGCACAAUUAAAAACCAUAGGUUCUUGGGGUUUGACUGAGCCUGGCUAUGGAAGUGAUGCAAGUUCUCUAAAAACAACAGUGACAAAGGUAUUAUUGGGUAUCACACUUCCUGAAUUAGAUGUAUUGGACACUUUUGGUCAAAAGCAUUCUGGUGGAGAGGGUUCCAUUCCAGCUUCAACUAGCGACAAUAGUACUGCAGCUGCUUACAAAGAUCCUCAG
This is a non-coding RNA of Camellia sinensis, 510 nucleotides long. The record is from RefSeq and is a predicted model, not a curated record. Lineage: Eukaryota; Viridiplantae; Streptophyta; Magnoliopsida; Ericales; Theaceae.